AUUGAACGCUGGCGGCAUGCCUUACACAUGCAAGUCGAACGGCAGCACGGGAGCAAUCCUGGUGGCGAGUGGCGAACGGGUGAGUAAUAUAUCGGAACGUGCCCAGUCGUGGGGGAUAACGUAGCGAAAGCUACGCUAAUACCGCAUACGAUCUAUGGAUGAAAGCGGGGGAUCGCAAGACCUCGCGCGAUUGGAGCGGCCGAUAUCAGAUUAGGUAGUUGGUGGGGUAAAAGCCUACCAAGCCUUCGAUCUGUAGCUGGUCUGAGAGGACGACCAGCCACGCUGGAACUGAGACACGGUCCAGACUCCUACGGGAGGCAGCAGUGGGGAAUUUUGGACAAUGGGCGCAAGCCUGAUCCAGCAAUGCCGCGUGCAGGAUGAAGGCCUUCGGGUUGUAAACUGCUUUUGUACGGAACGAAACGGUUCUCUCUAAUACAGGGGGCUAAUGACGGUACCGUAAGAAUAAGCACCGGCUAACUACGUG
RNAcentral lists this ribosomal RNA (484 nucleotides) under uncultured bacterium. RNAcentral's name for it is "bacterial SSU rRNA". It matches the Rfam family "Bacterial small subunit ribosomal RNA", at positions 30 to 507 of the family's 1533-position model. The record is from RNAcentral.